AAGAUGGCGACCGGCGCACGGGUGAGUAACACGUAUCCAACCUGCCGAUAGCUCCGGAAUAGCCUUUCGAAAGAAAGAUUAAUACCGGAUAGUAUACGAAUAUCGCAUGAUAUUUUUUUUAAAGAAUUUCGGUUAUCGAUGGGGAUGCGUUCCAUUAGUUUGUUGGCGGGGUAACGGCCCACCAAGACUACGAUGGAUAGGGGUUCUGAGAGGAAGGUCCCCCACAUUGGAACUGAGACACGGUCCAA
Molecule: ribosomal RNA, 248 nt
Filed under: uncultured bacterium
Lineage: Bacteria
Description: partial 16S ribosomal RNA
Rfam family: Bacterial small subunit ribosomal RNA
Source: RNAcentral